Molecule: ribosomal RNA, 428 nt
Filed under: Serratia marcescens
Lineage: Bacteria; Pseudomonadati; Pseudomonadota; Gammaproteobacteria; Enterobacterales; Yersiniaceae
Description: partial 23S ribosomal RNA
Rfam family: Bacterial large subunit ribosomal RNA
Source: RNAcentral
CGAAGAUACCAGCUGGCUGCAACUGUUUAAUAAAAACACAGCACUGUGCAAACACGAAAGUGGACGUAUACGGUGUGACGCCUGCCCGGUGCUGGAAGGUUAAUUGAUGGGGUCAGCCGCAAGGCGAAGCUCUUGAUCGAAGCCCCAGUAAACGGCGGCCGUAACUAUAACGGUCCUAAGGUAGCGAAAUUCCUUGUCGGGUAAGUUCCGACCUGCACGAAUGGCGUAAUGAUGGCCAGGCUGUCUCCACCCGAGACUCAGUGAAAUUGAACUCGCUGUGAAGAUGCAGUGUACCCGCGGCAAGACGGAAAGACCCCGUGAACCUUUACUAUAGCUUGACACUGAACAUUGAGCCUUGAUGUGUAGGAUAGGUGGGAGGCUUUGAAGCGUGGACGCCAGUCUGCGUGGAGCCAUCCUUGAAAUACCAC